This is a long non-coding RNA of Neodiprion virginianus, 323 nucleotides long. RefSeq lists it as uncharacterized. The record is from RefSeq and is a predicted model, not a curated record. NCBI's taxonomy places the organism in Eukaryota, Metazoa, Arthropoda, Insecta, Hymenoptera, Diprionidae. The transcript is spliced from 3 exons.
AAGAUGUAUUUAUAUUAGAGCUUCUUCGUUUCAAUAAAUUUCGGUUUGUAACAGUUGAAUUUAGCCGCCAGAGAGACUACGGAACUCAGUGAUAGGUAGGUCCGUAGGGUGGGGGGCUUUCACCUAAGCGGUGAUACGACGAAGGAGAAUCGAUCGAGAAGUGGAAGAGAGAGGACGAAAGAGAAUCGAUCGAGAAGUGGAGGAGAGAGGACGGUUGAGAAUCGAUCGAGCGGGAAGCGGGAGACGACGGAUGAGGGGAUCGUCAGCAGAGUGCGCUCGCAAUAAAGAAUCAUCACGAAAGAAGAAAGACAACCGACGAAACA